RNAcentral lists this ribosomal RNA (497 nucleotides) under uncultured bacterium. RNAcentral's name for it is "partial 16S ribosomal RNA". It matches the Rfam family "Bacterial small subunit ribosomal RNA", at positions 28 to 507 of the family's 1533-position model. The record is from RNAcentral.
GAUGAACGCUGGCGGCGUGCCUAAUACAUGCAAGUCGAGCGAACAGAUGAGGAGCUUGCUCCUCUGACGUUAGCGGCGGACGGGUGAGUAACACGUGGAUAACCUACCUAUAAGGCUGGGAUAACUUCGGGAAACCGGAGCUAAUACCGGAUAAUAUAUUGAACCGCAUGGUUCAAUAGUGAAAGACAGUUUUGCUGUCACUUAUAGAUGGAUCCGCGCCGCAUUAGCUAGUUGGUAAGGUAACGGCUUACCAAGGCAACGAUGCGUAGCCGACCUGAGAGGGUGAUCGGCCACACUGGAACUGAGACACGGUCCAGACUCCUACGGGAGGCAGCAGUAGGGAAUCUUCCGCAAUGGGCGAAAGCCUGACGGAGCAACGCCGCGUGAGUGAUGAAGGUCUUCGGAUCGUAAAACUCUGUUAUUGGGGAAGAACAAAUGUGUAAGUAACUAUGCACGUCUUGACGGUACCUAAUCAGAAAGCCACGGCUAACUACGUG